UACGUAGGGUGCAAGCGUUGUCCGGAAUUAUUGGGCGUAAAGAGCUCGUAGGCGGUCUGUCGCGUCUGCCGUGAAAACUCGGGGCUUAACCCCGGGCCUGCAGUGGGUACGGGCAGACUAGAGUGCGGUAGGGGAGACUGGAAUUCCUGGUGUAGCGGUGAAAUGCGCAGAUAUCAGGAGGAACACCGGUGGCGAAGGCGGCACUCUGGGCCGGAACUGACGCUGAGGAGCGAAAGCAUGGGGAGCGAACAGG
This 253-nucleotide ribosomal RNA is filed under the name uncultured bacterium. Its description in RNAcentral is "partial 16S ribosomal RNA". It matches the Rfam family "Bacterial small subunit ribosomal RNA", at positions 524 to 776 of the family's 1533-position model. The record is from RNAcentral.